AGUCAAGUAAUUAAGUGCAUGUGGUGGAUGCCUUGGCAGUCAGAGGCGAUGAAAGACGUGAUAGCCUGCGAAAAGCUCCGGGGAGGCGGCAAAUAUCCUUUGAUCCGGAGAUGUCUGAAUGGGGGAACCCACCUACUUUAAGGUAGGUAUUGCAACAUGAAUACAUAGUGUUGCGAGGCGAACGAGGGGAAGUGAAACAUCUCAGUACCCUUAGGAAAAGAAAUCAAUUGAGAUUCCCUCAGUAGCGGCGAGCGAACGGGGAUCAGCCCAUUAAGUUAUGUGUGUUUUAGUGGAACGCUCUGGGAAGUGCGAACGUAGAGGGUGAUAUUCCCGUACACGAAAGGGCACACAUAAUGAUGACGAGUAGGGCGAGGCACGUGAAACCUUGUCUGAAUAUGGGGGGACCAUCCUCCAAGGCUAAAUACUCCUGACUGACCGAUAGUGAACCAGUACCGUGAGGGAAAGGCGAAAAGAACCCCUGUGAGGGGAGUGAAAUAGAUCCUGAAACCGCAUGCAUACAAGCAGUGGGAGCACCUUCGUGGUGUGACUGCGUACCUUUUGUAUAAUGGGUCAGCGACUUAUAUUCAGUAGCAAGGUUAACCGUAUAGGGGAGCCGUAGAGAAAUCGAGUCUUAAUAGGGCGUUUAGUUGCUGGGUAUAGACCCGAAACCAGGCGAUCUAUCCAUGAGCAGGUUGAAGGUUGGGUAACACUAACUGGAGGACCGAACCCACUGUCGUUGAAAAGCCAGGGGAUGACUUGUGGAUAGGGGUGAAAGGCUAAUCAAGCCUGGUGAUAGCUGGUUCUCCCCGAAAGCUAUUUAGGUAGCGCCUCGGACGAAUACCAUAGGGGGUAGAGCACUGUUUCGGCUAGGGGGUCAUCCCGACUUACCAAACCGAUGCAAACUCCGAAUACCUAUGAGUACUAUCCGGGAGACAGACUGCGGGUGCUAACGUCCGUAGUCAAGAGGAAAACAAUCCAGACCGCCAGCUAAGGCCCCAAAAUCAUAGUUAAGUGGGAAACGAUGUGGGAAGGCAUAGACAGCUAGGAGGUUGGCUUAGAAGCAGCCACCCUUUAAAGAAAGCGUAAUAGCUCACUAGUCGAGUCGGCCUGCGCGGAAGAUGUAACGGGGCUAAAACUAUGUGCCGAAGCUGCGGAUGUAUACUUUGUAUACGUGGUAGGGGAGCGUUCUGUAAGCCGAUGAAGGUGUGUUGAGAAGCAUGCUGGAGGUAUCAGAAGUGCGAAUGCUGACGUGAGUAACGACAAAACGGGUGAAAAACCCGUUCGCCGAAAGACCAAGGGUUCCAGUCCAACGUUAAUCGGGGCUGGGUGAGUCGACCCCUAAGGCGAGGCCGAAAGGCGUAGUCGAUGGGAAAAUGGUUAAUAUUCCAUUACUUCUGUGUAAUGCGAUGAGAGGACGGAGAAGGCUAAAUCAGCCUGGCGUUGGUUGUCCAGGUGAAAGGAUGUAGGCAUGUAUCUUAGGCAAAUCCGGGGUACUCUAUGCUGAGAUCUGAUAGCAAGCUGUACUUGUACAGCGAAGUGGUUGAUGCCAUGCUUCCAGGAAAAGUCUCUAAGCUUCAGUUACACAGGAAUCGUACCCGAAACCGACACAGGUGGUCAGGUCGAGUAGACCAAGGCGCUUGAGAGAACUCUGCUGAAGGAACUAGGCAAAAGUGGUACCGUAACUUCGGGAGAAGGUACGCUGUUGUUGGUGAUGGAACUCGCUUCCUGAGCUGACGACAGCCGCAGAAACCAGGCCGCUGCAACUGUUUAUUAAAAACAUAGCACUCUGCAAACACGAAAGUGGACGUAUAGGGUGUGAUGCCUGCCCGGUGCUGGAAGGUUAAUUGAUGGGGUUAGCGUAAGCGAAGCUCUUGAUCGAAGCCCCAGUAAACGGCGGCCGUAACUAUAACGGUCCUAAGGUAGCGAAAUUCCUUGUCGGGUAAGUUCCGACCUGCACGAAUGGCAUAAUGAUGGCGGCGCUGUCUCCAGCAGAGGCUCAGUGAAAUCGAAAUCGCUGUGAAGAUGCAGUGUACCCGCGGCUAGACGGAAAGACCCCGUGAACCUUUACUGCAGCUUGACACUGAACUUUGACCUUACUUGUGUAGGAUAGGUGGGAGGCUUUGAAGCUGGAACGCUAGUUCCAGUGGAGCCGUCCUUGAAAUACCACCCUGGUAAUGUUGAGGUUCUAACUCUGUCCCGUGAUCCGGGACGAGGACCGUGUCUGGUGGGUAGUUUGACUGGGGCGGUCUCCUCCUAAAGAGUAACGGAGGAGUACGAAGGUGCGCUCAGCGUGGUCGGAAAUCACGCGUAGAGUAUAAAGGCAAAAGCGCGCUUAACUGCGAGACCCACAAGUCGAGCAGGUACGAAAGUAGGUCUUAGUGAUCCGGUGGUUCUGUAUGGAAGGGCCAUCGCUCAACGGAUAAAAGGUACUCUGGGGAUAACAGGCUGAUACCGCCCAAGAGUUCAUAUCGACGGCGGUGUUUGGCACCUCGAUGUCGGCUCAUCUCAUCCUGGGGCUGAAGCAGGUCCCAAGGGUAUGGCUGUUCGCCAUUUAAAGAGGUACGCGAGCUGGGUUUAGAACGUCGUGAGACAGUUCGGUCCCUAUCUACCGUGGGCGCUGGAAAUUUGAGAGGAUCUGCUCCUAGUACGAGAGGACCAGAGUGGACGAACCUCUGGUGUACCGGUUGUGACGCCAGUCGCAUCGCCGGGUAGCUAUGUUCGGAAGGGAUAACCGCUGAAAGCAUCUAAGCGGGAAGCCUACCUCAAGAUAAGAUUUCCCUAGGACUUUAUGUCCUCUAAAGAGCCGUUCGAGACUAGGACGUUGAUAGGUUGGAUGUGGAAGCAUAGUGAUAUGUGAAGCUGACCAAUACUAAUUGCUCGUGAGGCUUGACUAUACAACACCC
RNAcentral lists this ribosomal RNA (2903 nucleotides) under Acinetobacter baumannii OIFC189. RNAcentral's name for it is "bacterial LSU rRNA". It matches the Rfam family "Bacterial large subunit ribosomal RNA". The record is from RNAcentral. Lineage: Bacteria; Pseudomonadati; Pseudomonadota; Gammaproteobacteria; Moraxellales; Moraxellaceae.